CACUCCAACCCCUGUGACAUACCAAUUGUUGCCUCGGCGGAUCAGCCCGCUCCCGGUAAAACGGGACGGCCCGCCAGAGGACCCCUAAACUCUGUUUCUAUAUGUAACUUCUGAGUAAAACCAUAAAUAAAUCAAAACUUUCAACAACGGAUCUCUUGGUUCUGGCAUCGAUGAAGAACGCAGCAAAAUGCGAUAAGUAAUGUGAAUUGCAGAAUUCAGUGAAUCAUCGAAUCUUUGAACGCACAUUGCGCCCGCCAGUAUUCUGGCGGGCAUGCCUGUUCGAGCGUCAUUUCAACCCUCAAGCCCAGCUUGGUGUUGGGACUCGCGAGUCAAAUCGCGUUCCCCAAAUUGAUUGGCGGUCACGUCGAGCUUCCAUAGCGUAGUAGUAAAACCCUCGUUACUGGUAAUCGUCGCGGCCACGCCGUUAAACCCCAACUUCUGAAUGUUGACCUCGGAUCAGGUAGGAAUACCCGCUGAACUUAAGCAUAUCAAUAAGCGGAGGA
This 503-nucleotide ribosomal RNA is filed under the name Fusarium verticillioides. RNAcentral describes it as "eukaryotic LSU rRNA". The stretch from base 136 to 289 matches the Rfam family "5.8S ribosomal RNA". Lineage: Eukaryota; Fungi; Ascomycota; Sordariomycetes; Hypocreales; Nectriaceae. The record is from RNAcentral.